RNAcentral lists this ribosomal RNA (580 nucleotides) under uncultured bacterium. RNAcentral describes it as "partial 16S ribosomal RNA". It matches the Rfam family "Bacterial small subunit ribosomal RNA", at positions 355 to 1376 of the family's 1533-position model. The record is from RNAcentral.
UGAGGAAUAUUGGUCAAUGGGCGAGAGCCUGAACCAGCCAAAUCGCGUGAAGGAAGACUGCCUUAUGGGUUGUAAACUUCUUUUAUACAGGAAUAAAAAAGGGGACGUGUCCCUUAUUGCAUGUACUGUAUGAAUAAGCAUCGGCUAACUCCGUGCCAGCAGCCGCGGUAAUACGGAGGAUGCGAGCGUUAUCCGGAUUUAUUGGGUUUAAAGGGUGCGCAGGCGGGCUUUUAAGUCAGCGGUGAAAUCUCGGGGCUUAACUCCGAAACUGCCGUUGAAACUGGGAGUCUUGAGUAUGGAUGAAGUAGGCGGAAUUCGUUGUGUAGCGGUGACAUGCUUAGAUAUAACGAGGAACUCCGAUUGCGUAGGCAGCUUACUAAGCCGUAACUGACGCUCAAGCACGAAAGCGUGGGGAUCAAACAGGAUUAGAUACCCUGGUAGUCCACGCCGUAAAACGAUGAUUACUAGUUGUAUGCGAUAUACCGUAUGUGACUAAGCGAAAGCGAUAAGUAAUCCACCUGGGGAGUACGCCGGCAACGGUGAAACUCAAAUGAAUUGACGGGGUCAUAGCUGUUUCCUG